RNAcentral lists this transfer RNA (75 nucleotides) under Coriobacteriia bacterium. RNAcentral describes it as "tRNA-Gln". It matches the Rfam family "tRNA". Rfam says of the family: Transfer RNA (tRNA) molecules are approximately 80 nucleotides in length. Their secondary structure includes four short double-helical elements and three loops (D, anti-codon, and T loops). Lineage: Bacteria; Bacillati; Actinomycetota; Coriobacteriia. The record is from RNAcentral.
UGGGGCGUAGCCAAGCGGCAAGGCAGCGGACUUUGGAUCCGCCAUCCGUAGGUUCGAAUCCUACCGCCCCAGCCA